Molecule: ribosomal RNA, 434 nt
Filed under: uncultured bacterium
Lineage: Bacteria
Description: partial 16S ribosomal RNA
Rfam family: Bacterial small subunit ribosomal RNA
Source: RNAcentral
AGCGAACGCUGGCGGCAGGCCUAACACAUGCAAGUCGAACGAACCUUUCGGGGUUAGUGGCGGACGGGUGAGUAACACGUGGGAACGUGCCUUUAGGUUCGGAAUAACUCAGGGAAACUUGUGCUAAUACCGAAUGUGCCCUUCGGGGGAAAGAUUAAUCGCCUUUAGAGCGGCCCGCGUCUGAUUAGCUAGUUGGUUGAGGUAAUGGCUCACCAAGGCGACGAUCAGUAGCUGGUCUGAGAGGAUGAUCAGCCACAUUGGGACUGAGACACGGCCCAAACUCCUACGGGAGGCAGCAGUGGGGAAUCUUGCGCAAUGGGCGAAAGCCUGACGCAGCCAUGCCGCGUGAAUGAUGAAGGUCUUAGGAUUGUAAAAUUCUUUCACCGGGGACGAUAAUGACGGAAACCGGAGAAGAAGCCCCGGCUAACUUCGUG